CCGCCGGCGACCGGCGCACGGGUGAGUAACACGUAUGCAACCUGGCCGUGACAGAUGGAUAACCGGGAGAAAUCCCGCCUAAUACAACAUAAUGCCGGGAGGGGACAUCCCCUGCCGGUCAAAGGGGGCGACCCCGGUCAUGGAUGGGCAUGCGGCGCAUUAGGUAGUUAGUGGGGCAACGGCCCACCAAGCCGACGAUGCGUAGGGGUUCUGAGAGGAAGGUCCCCCACAUUGGAACUGAGACACGGUCCAAACUCCUACGGAAGGCAGCAG
This 273-nucleotide ribosomal RNA is filed under the name uncultured bacterium. RNAcentral describes it as "partial 16S ribosomal RNA". It matches the Rfam family "Bacterial small subunit ribosomal RNA", at positions 85 to 354 of the family's 1533-position model. The record is from RNAcentral.